Molecule: non-coding RNA, 28 nt
Filed under: Mus musculus (house mouse)
Lineage: Eukaryota; Metazoa; Chordata; Mammalia; Rodentia; Muridae
Source: RNAcentral
UGUAAGGAUCCUGUCAAUCCAUGGUUAC